AUCUGAGCGUCUUAUUUUAAUAAGUCAAAACUUUCAACAACGGAUCUCUUGGUUCUGGCAUCGAUGAAGAACGCAGCGAAAUGCGAUACGUAAUGUGAAUUGCAGAAUUCAGUGAAUCAUCGAAUCUUUGAACGCACAUUGCGCCCAUUAGUAUUCUAGUGGGCAUGCCUGUUCGAGCGUCAUUUCAACCCUUAAGCCU
RNAcentral lists this ribosomal RNA (199 nucleotides) under Seimatosporium grevilleae. RNAcentral describes it as "5.8S ribosomal RNA". The stretch from base 29 to 182 matches the Rfam family "5.8S ribosomal RNA". From Rfam's summary of the family: 5.8S ribosomal RNA (5.8S rRNA) is a component of the large subunit of the eukaryotic ribosome. It is transcribed by RNA polymerase I as part of the 45S precursor that also contains 18S and 28S rRNA. The record is from RNAcentral. Lineage: Eukaryota; Fungi; Ascomycota; Sordariomycetes; Amphisphaeriales; Sporocadaceae.